GGAAAGGCUACUGGUCAAACUCCUGAUAGUGGAUCAAGAAAAAGGAAGUACUUUGGGGGAUCCAGUUCAAGCAAGUCGGGUAGAGGCAGAUCUUCUGGACAGAGACCACCCCGAUCUGGUCAGCAUACCUAGCAGACACCCAAAGGUGCACUAUCGGUCCAUCUAUGUGAGACAUGUGGCAGAACACACGGUGGAGUAUGCUAUAGAGCCACAGGAGCAUGUUAUAACUAUGGAGGGACAAGUCAUUUUGCUAAGGACUGUACAAGUGCAUGUCGUUCUGGACCAUCUGCUACAUCAGAGGGAUUAGCCCAAGCUUAUACCCUGAGGGAUUCUCCAUCAGUUAGCAGAGGCAGAGGCAGAGGUAGGGGUAGUACACCUGGAAGUCAAAGUACGGUUAAUUAGCUAGAACCUAGUGGCGCACCAGCCAGAGUGUAUACGAUGCGAUAGAGAGAGGAGGCUGAGACAUCGGAUGUUGUAGCUGGUACUUUUUCUAUCCUUGACCUAGAUGCAUAUGUGUUAU
Molecule: unclassified non-coding RNA, 520 nt
Filed under: Hevea brasiliensis (rubber tree)
Lineage: Eukaryota; Viridiplantae; Streptophyta; Magnoliopsida; Malpighiales; Euphorbiaceae
Source: RNAcentral